RNAcentral lists this ribosomal RNA (301 nucleotides) under uncultured bacterium. RNAcentral describes it as "partial 16S ribosomal RNA". It matches the Rfam family "Bacterial small subunit ribosomal RNA", at positions 509 to 807 of the family's 1533-position model. The record is from RNAcentral.
CAGUCGCCACGGGAAUACGUAGGGUGCGAGCGUUAAUCGGAAUUACUGGGCGUAAAGCGUGCGCAGGCGGUUGUGUAAGACAGGUGUGAAAUCCCCGGGCUCAACCUGGGAAUGGCGCUUGUGACUGCAAAGCUAGAGUGCGGCAGAGGGGGAUGGAAUUCCGCGUGUAGCAGUGAAAUGCGUAGAUAUGCGGAGGGACACCGAUGGCGAAGGCAAUCCCCUGGGCCUGCACUGACGCUCAUGCACGAAAGCGUGGGGAGCAAACAGGAUUAGAUACCCGAGUAGUCCCUGUCUCUUAUAC